RNAcentral lists this ribosomal RNA (459 nucleotides) under uncultured bacterium. Its description in RNAcentral is "partial 16S ribosomal RNA". It matches the Rfam family "Bacterial small subunit ribosomal RNA", at positions 338 to 795 of the family's 1533-position model. The record is from RNAcentral.
CCUACGGGAGGCAGCAGUGAGGAAUAUUGGUCAAUGGGCGCGCGCCUGAACCAGCCAAGUCGCGUGAGGGAAGACGGUCCUAUGGAUUGUAAACCUCUUUUGUCGGGGAGCAAAAGCCGCUACGCGUGGCGUUCCGAGAGUACCCGAAGAAAAAGCAUCGGCUAACCCCGUGCCCGCAGCCGCGGUCAUAAGGAGGAUGCGAGCGUUAUCCGGAUUUAUUGGGUUUAAGGGGUGCGCAGGCGGAAGAUCAAGUCAGCGGUAAAAUUGAGAGGCUCAACCUCGUCGAGCCGUUGAAACUGGUUUUCUUGAGUGAGCGAGAAGUAUGCGGAAUGCGUGGUGUAGCGGUGAAAUGCAUAGAUAUCACGCAGAACUCCGAUUGUGAAGGCAGCAUACCGGCGCUCAACUGACGCUCAUGCACGAAAGUGUGGGUAUCGAACAGGAUUAGAUACCCGGGUAGUC